This 504-nucleotide ribosomal RNA is filed under the name uncultured bacterium. RNAcentral's name for it is "bacterial SSU rRNA". It matches the Rfam family "Bacterial small subunit ribosomal RNA", at positions 28 to 507 of the family's 1533-position model. The record is from RNAcentral.
GACGAACGCUGGCGGCGUGCCUAAUACAUGCAAGUCGAGCGGACUUAUUUGAGUAGCUUGCUAUUUGGAUAAGUUAGCGGCGGACGGGUGAGUAACACGUGGGUAAUCUGCCUCGUAGUCUGGGAUAACGGCUGGAAACGGCCGCUAAUACCCCGUACGAUUGUGAAGCUCUCGGGCUUUGCAAAGAAAGGGGCCUUUAAAGCCCCGCCGAAAGAUGAGCCCGCCCCCCAUUAGCUAGUUGGCGGGGUAAUGGCCCACCAAGGCUGUGAUGGGUAGCCGAGCUGAGAGGUUGAUCGGCCACACUGGAACUGAGACACGGUCCAGACACCUACGGGUGGCAGCAGUAGGGAAUAUUGCGCAAUGGGCGAAAGCCUGACGCAGCCAUGCCGCGUGGAUGAUGAAGGCCUUCGGGUCGUAAAGUCCUUUUCUGAGGGAAGAACUGCCGGGGGAGGAAAUGCCCUUGGCUUGACGGUACCUCAGGAAUAAGCAACGGCUAACUCCGUG